RNAcentral lists this long non-coding RNA (6472 nucleotides) under Homo sapiens (human). Its description in RNAcentral is "HSALNT0311991". The record is from RNAcentral. Lineage: Eukaryota; Metazoa; Chordata; Mammalia; Primates; Hominidae.
GGGCAAGAAAGGGAGCUGGAUGAUACACAAAGAUUCAGACACCCACGUGUGCACUCUGUGGACAGAACUUCCACCAAGGCCUGGCAGGGGUCAGUGGGGCAGGAGGAUGUGAAUUUUAGGACCAAGUCCCUUUGGUGUUGGGGCUUGUGGCUGUCUGAAUGGAAGUAACCAUGAUGCCUCCUGUUUUAUUCUGCAACUCUGUGCCAGGAGUUGGGCUGAUGUCAGCAAUACUGAGGUAGAAAACAAACGUUCCUUGCCCUUGAGGAGGUUAUGGUAUGGUGGGGAAGUCAGAGAGCACAGGGGAUGAGCAGGGUCGAGGGAAGACCUCGUUCCUGAGUCCCGGGAGAGCAGAAAGGGGACAGGGGAGGAGCAUUCACGGAUGUGGGAAUGGCACAGGGUGGGAGAUCAUGGCGAGUGCAGGGGCCACCAAGGAGCACGGCGGCUGAGACACCAAGCACAUGGGCAGUGGGGGUGGCAUGGUGGGGAGAAGGGGCAGAGAGGAGGGCGCUGCUCCUACAGCCACACGGACCAUGGGGAACCACAGGCUGUGUUAAGGUGAGUGACUUGAUCAGGCUGGCCCUGUGGCUGGUUAGGGCAGCCCAAGCUGUAGGAAGGAUGCAAGAGGGGAAGGCUAAUUAUCACAAGCUGGGGGUAUCUCUUUAUUUGUUGAAAAGGAGUUUCACUCUUUCGCCCAGGCUGGAAUGAAGUGGCGUGAUCUCAACUCACUGCAACCUCCGCCUCCCAGGUUCAAGUGAUCUUCUGCCUCAGCCUCCCCAGUAGCUGGGAUUAUAGGUGCCCGCCACCAUGCCCAGCUAAUUUUUGUAUUUCUAGUAGAGAUGGGGUUUCACCACGUUGGCCAGGCUGGUCUCGAACUCCUGACCUCAGGUGAUCCACCUGCCUCAGCCUCCCAAAGUGCUAGGAUUACAGGCCUGAGCCACCGCACCCAGCUGGAGGUCUCUUUGAAGGUCCUCUGGGGAUCCCCAGAGCUGUGUGUUUCUUGGCUCUAACCUCUGCAGAUAUGGGGAAUGCUUUUCCAACAUGAAAGCCAGAACUUUUCCAGGGCUGAUCCUUUUCAAACAACUCAUUUCCUCUCCUUUUCCUCUGGGUUCCCAGCUACUAUGCCAAUCCACCUCCAUCUUUUUCCCCAACAUCCUCCCUCAGAAGUGGAUCCGCAUUCACUCCCCUUCUCUUAGCUGCCUUUACCUUCAAUUCAUCCUAGACAAGAGGGCCCCUCCUCCCCAUCCUUAACGGCAAAAGCAAAAGCCCCAACAAACUCAAGCACCUUCUGUGUCUUUGCUCUAUUCUCACCAACUCAAAUUAUUAAAACCAAGAUUUUCUGCCCACUGGGGAGUUAAGGUAAGACGAUGCCUCAGUCAAGGAAAAGAGUCCUGCAGGGCAUCCCUGGACCAGGAAAAGGAACAGCUAAUGGGGAGCUUAACAGCUAAUUCCAGCCAAGGAAAUGGAAACCUCUGCCUUGUCACUCACUCACAGCUAAGGCUGCCACGGCAACCCACUGAGCAGGAAUAACACCCAGCUACUGUGGAAACACUCAGAAGAAACGCAGAUGCAGUCAAUAGGUGAAAACAGCAUGAAAAAGUGGAAACUCCCAACUGAGUGUCUUUUUUUGUUUUUUUGAGACAGGGUCUCGCUCUGUUGCACAGGCUGGAGUGCAGUGGCACGAUCAUGGCUCACUGCAGCCUUGACCUCCCGGGCUCAAGUGAUCCUCCCACCUCAGUGCCCCCCAGGUAGCUGGGAUGACAGGUACGCACCAUCAUGCCCAGGCAAAACUGAGUGUCUAUCCUGGAGAGAUAUCAGAAACCACAACUCACAGGCAAAAAUACCCAUAUGAGCUGCUGGCUUUGGCACUGUUUGCUGGUUAGCGUUACAAAUCCAUCAUUCUCCAUGGCCACCCAGAGGUAUGUGCAACUACUGAACGACCCCCUGAUGAGAUAUGCACAUCUGUGGGAACCAUUUCAGCGAUUUCCUAGAUAGAAUAUUCAUAUAAAUGGUCAAAAACUUUUCCUGGGCUGGGUGUGGUGGCUCACACCUAUAAUAUCAGCACUCUGGGAGGCCGAGGUGGGAAGAUCUCUUGAACCCAGGAGUUCGAGACCAGCCUGGCCAACAUAGUAAGACCUCAUCUCUACAAAAAAUAAAAAAUUGCUCUCCCUCUCCCUCUCCCUCUCCCUCUCCCCACGGUCUCCCUCUCCCUCUCUUUCCAGGGUCUCCCUCUGAUGCCGAGCCGAAGCUGGACUGUACUGCUGCCAUCUCGGCUCACUGCAACCUCCCUGCCUGAUUCUCCUGCCUCAGCCUGCCGAGUGCCUGCGAUUGCAGGUGCACACUGCCACGCCUGACUGGUUUUCGUAUUUUUUUGGUGGAGACGGGUUUCACUGUGUUGGCCAGGCUGGUCUCCAGCUCCUAACCGCGAGUGAUCCGCCAGCCUCGGCCUCCGGAGGUGCCGGGAUUGCAGACGGUGUCUGGUUCACUCAGUGCUCAAUGGUGCCCAGGCUGGAGUGCAGUGGUGUGAUCUCGGCUCGCUACAACCUCCACCUCCCAGCCGCCUGCCUUGGCCUCCCAAAGUGCCCAGAGUGCAGCCUCUGCCCGGCCGCCACCCCAUCUAGGAAGCGAGGAGCGUCUCUGCCUGGCCGCCCAUCGUCUGGGAUGUGAGGAGCCCCUCUGCCUGGCUGCCCAGUCUGGAAAGUGAGGAGCGUCUCUGCCCGGCCGCCAUCCCAUCUAGGAAGUGAGGAGCGCCUCUUCCCGGCCGCCAUCCCAUCUAGGAAGUGAGGAGCGUCUCUGCCCGGCCGCCCAUUGUCUGAGAUGUGGAGAGCGCCUUUGCCCCGCCGGCCCGUCUGGGAUGUGAGGAGCGCCUCUGCCCGGCCGCGACCCCGUCUGGGAGGUGAGAAGCGUCUCUGCCCAGCCGCCCCAUCUGAGAAGGGAGGAGACCCUCCGCCCGGCAACCGCCCUGUCUGAGAAGUGAGGAGCCCCUCCGCCCGGCAGCCACCCCGUCUGGGAAGUGAGGAGCCUCUCCGCCUGGCAGCCGACCCGUCCGGGAGGGAGGUGGGGGGUCAGCCCCCGCCAGGCCAGCCGCCCCGUCCGGGAGGGAGGUGGGGGGGGUCAGCCCCCCGCCCGGCCAGCCGCCCCGUCUGGGAGGUGAGGGGCGCCUCUGCCCAGCCGCCCCUACUGGGAAGUGAGGAGCCCCUCUGCCCAGCCAGCCGCCCCGUCCGGGAGGGAGGUGGGGGGGUCAGCCCCCCGCCCGGCCAGCCGCCCCGUCCGGGAGGUGAGGGGCGCCUCUGCCCGGCCGCCCCUACUGGGAAGUGAGGAGCCUCUCUGCCCGGCCAGCCGCCCCGUCCGGGAGGGAGGUGGGGAUGUCAGCCCCCCGCCCGGCCAGCCGCCCCGUCCGGGAGGGAGGUGGGGGGGUCAGCCCCCCGCCCGGCCAGCCGCCUCGUCCGGGAGGUGAGGGGCGCCUCUGCCCGGCCGCCCCUACUGGGAAGUGAGGAGCCCCUCUGCCCGGCCAGCCACCCCGUCCGGGAGGGAGGUGGGGGGGUCAGCCCCCUACCCGGCCAGCCGCCCUGUCCGGGUGGUGAGGGGCGCCUCUGCCUGGCCGCCCCUACUGGGAAGUGAGGAGCCCCUCUGCCCAGCCACCACCCCGUCUGGGAGGUGUGCCCAACAGCUCAUUGAGAAUAGGCCAUGAUGACAAUGGUGGUUUUGUGGAAUAGAAAGGGGGGAAAGGUGGGGAAAAGAUUGAGAAAUCGGAUGGUUGCCGUGUCUGUGUAGAAAGAGGUAGACAUGGGAGACUUUUCAUUUUGUUCUGUACUAAGAAAGAUUCUUCUGCCUUGGGAUCCUGUUGAUCUGUGACCUUACCCCGCAACCCUGUGCUCUCUGAAACAUGUGCUGUGUCCACUCAGGGUUAAAUGGAUUAAGGGCAGUGCAAGAUGUGCUUUGUUAAACAGAUGCCUGAAGGCAGCAUGCUCGUUAAGAGUCAUCACCACUCCCUAAUCUCAAGUACCCAGGGACACAAACACUGCGGAAGGCCUCAGGGUCCUCUGCCUAGGAAAACCAGAGACCUUUGUUCACUUGUUUAUCUGGUGACCUUCCCUCCACUAUUGUCCUAUGACCCUGCCAAAUCCCCCUCUGUGAGAAACACCCAAGAAUGAUCAAUAAAAAAAAUAAAAAAAUAAAAAAAAUAAAAAAUUACCCGGGUGUGGUGGCACAUGCCUGUAGUCCCAGCUGCCUGGGAGGCUGAGGUGGGAGCAUUGCUUGAGCUCAGGAGGUUGAGGCUGCAGUGAGCUAUGAUUGAGCCACUGCAUUCUAGCCUGGGUGACAGAGCAAGAACCAGUCUCAGAACAAACAAACAAACAACCCCCCUGCCCAACAAAAAACAAAAAUCAAAACCUUUUCCUGCAUUGCUUCACACCAGGGCUAAAACUAUGGUGAGGCAAAUGAGGCAUUUGCCUAAGGCACAAAAUUUAAGUGCCAAAAAACUCAUAAAUUAAGAGAAAAUAUUUUAGUGCAGUAUGUUAAAAAAAACAUUAAUGGAAAAAGGCACAUGAUGAACAAAAUAUCAAAAUCAUAAAUACAGACAGGAUCUGACCCUGCACCUGCAUGACACAUCUCUCUCAUCUCACCCUUGUCUCGGGCCUGUUAUGCACUAUAAGGGUAGGUAGACGAUAAAUUGCUGGAGGGCAGGGAUCCUGGCUGUCUUGGUCCCUACUGUAUCCUCAGGGCCUAAUACAGUGUUAGGCACAUACUAGGUGCUCAAUAAAUGCCUGUUAACUGGCUUAAAUGUGUAGUCAGUCAGUGGGUUUAUCCCUUCACUAGUUGGUUUGUUCACUCAAUUUCUCACUUGUUUGCUCACUCACUGUGUACUCUGGGUCUCCUGCAUACCAGGCACGGUGCUGGCAGGGAGAAGGGACAUAAAGAAUAAUAGCCUGUCUGUCUCUAGAUGGCCCUCCCAUUUUGAUGGACUGAACAUAGAGGAGCGAUGCUUGAAAUGAAGCAUGCAGAAACCCUCUCAGGAAGGGCUGCCAUGUUUGGGUGUACAGGUUGUAUACAGACCAAAUCCAUCAUUCACAAAAAUGACAAUGCACAUGGCUCCCCCUGCAGCUGUGCAGUAUAGCAGUCAGCCUACAGGGGUCCAAAGAAGAAGGAAGCUGAAUUUGGCCUGGUAGGGGCAGGUGCUGUGACACCAAAUGUUGAUGACAGAGCAGGAAAAGAGCCAGCGAGCUUGGGAGGCAAAAGGCUGUGAAAUAAAAGACUCCCUGAAGCCUCUGCUAUUUGGCCUCUGUCCCAGGGACAGUCCACAAAACACAUGAAGGAUCUGAUCACAUUUAUAGCAAGCCCAUAGAAUGUUAGGCUCUUUUUCUGGAAUGAAACGGACUUCUGAGUCUGGGAAAAAAAUUUGGACCAUGCAUUGAAGCCACCAACAGAGGCAAAGGACAUGAGCAGUCUAAUCUAAUACCAGCUAACCUAACUUUUUUGCAACUGGAAGAUCAUUUUCAUACAUAUUAUUUCAUUUGAGCCUCAAAAUAACCCUGGUACUAGAAGUUUCAGAAACCCUUAAUUUAGAGGGGCUGAGUUACUUGCUCAAGGUCAUGCAUGGGCUGACCAAGGACAAAAGUAGGGCUGGAACAUAGACUUUCAGAAUCCAAGGCCAGUGCCCUUGCUUCUGCGCUGUCUCCACAGGAAGAUGGGUUACAGCCUCUCCCUGUUGGCUCCUGAGAGCCCCAAAUCACCUUUGGGGUUUUUAGAACAACAGAAGGCCUUCGCUGCUCAGGCUCUGAUUCCUGAUCAAAUGACUCUCUGCUGGCAUAGCCCAGGGCACAAACAAAGCUUCUUUCAGUCCCUUGGCGCUGCAGAAGAGAGCACAUGAGAUCCCCUUCUCUCCACGUCCACAAAACCAUGCUGUGAAUCCUCACCAUGCCUGGCUCAUCUAAGACACCAUUGCCUCUUAUUCUGCGUACACGCCAUGGGCACAGCCUGGCUGCUCCUCCCCACUCUCUCCUGCCUGGGUCAUUCAUGCACUUGUGGGUCUUUGUGGCCACAGUGUGACCUCCUGCCAGUUAAAAAUUGAUGCAUUUAGGUAAAGGGUAUGCAGGUAUACUCUGUAUUCUUUUUUAUUUUUAUUUUUUUGAGAUAGGAUCCCGCCCUGUGGCCCAGGCUGGUGUGCAGUGAAGCAAUCACGGCUCACUGCCACCUCCAUGUCCUGGACUCAAGUGAUCCUCCUGCCUCACCCUCCAGAGUAGCUGGGACUACAGAUGCAUACCACCAUGCUUGGCUACUUUUUUAAAAAUUUAUUUUUUAUAGAGAUGGGAUCUCACUAUGCUGCCCAGGUUGGUCUCAAACUCCUGGGCUCAAGCAAUCCUCCUGCCUUAGCCUCCCAAAGUGCUGGCAUUAUAGGCGUAAGCCACCAUGCCUGGCCUUCUUUCAAAUUUUCUGUAAGUUUGAAAUUAUUUCAAGAUAAAAUUUUUUUAAGAAU